This 429-nucleotide ribosomal RNA is filed under the name Acidobacteriota bacterium. RNAcentral's name for it is "Acidobacteria bacterium partial 16S ribosomal RNA". It matches the Rfam family "Bacterial small subunit ribosomal RNA", at positions 355 to 776 of the family's 1533-position model. Lineage: Bacteria; Pseudomonadati; Acidobacteriota. The record is from RNAcentral.
UGGGGAAUUUUGGACAAUGGGCGCAAGCCUGAUCCAGCAAUGCCGCGUGUGUGAAGAAGGCCUUCGGGUUGUAAAGCACUUUUGUCCGGAAAGAAAACCUCGUGGCUAAUACCCGUGGGGGAUGACGGUACCGGAAGAAUAAGCACCGGCUAACUAUGUGCCAGCAGCCGCGGUAAUACGUAGGGUGCAAGCGUUAAUCGGAAUUACUGGGCGUAAAGCGUUCGCAGGCGGUUCGCUAAGACAGAUGUGAAAUCCCCGGGCUUAACCUGGGAACUGCAUUUGUGACUGGCGGGAUAGAGUAUGGCAGAGGGGGGUAGAAUUCCACGUGUAGCAGUGAAGUGCGUAGAGAUGUGGAGGAAUACCGAUGGCGAAGGCAGCCCCCUGGGCCAAUACUGACGCUCAUGCACGAAAGCGUGGGGAGAAAACAGG